This 477-nucleotide long non-coding RNA is filed under the name Glycine max (soybean). RNAcentral describes it as "long non-coding RNA (GMAX_LNC000332)". The record is from RNAcentral. Lineage: Eukaryota; Viridiplantae; Streptophyta; Magnoliopsida; Fabales; Fabaceae.
UAAUGAUAAAAAAAAAACAGAAAUCUCAACACCAUGCAAUUCGUUCUCAAUAUGCAAUCUUGCAAAUUUAUCACCACCAAAUUCGAGCAGAAGAUCGAUUUGUUGUGUCAGCUGAAUAAUUUGUUGUAACAAAUAGAGUAAUCUCUAGGACAUGUAGUAUGGCACUAAAGAUCGAGGCCAGCUUACAGUUAAGGAACCUAACAAAGCCUCCAACAAACCAGAAACGUAGAGACGGACCCUGUUAUUGCAAUUCAACAAACUUGGGAUAGCUGAUCCUAGAAAUUAUAAACACGACGAUAAAUUUGUCUUUUUAUUUUUAAAUUUGCUGAAAGAAUAUGAGAAAAGAUUCAAAAACAUAGAUAAGAUACCUGAUUCAGAAACAUUUCCUUAGAUCGGGAAGUCAAGGAUGUGCAAUUGAUAGCAUAAUGAUAUUUUAUAUUUGAUGGCACAAGUUUUCUUGCAUUCAUUCAAAAAAAA